RNAcentral lists this ribosomal RNA (332 nucleotides) under uncultured eukaryote. Its description in RNAcentral is "partial 18S ribosomal RNA". It matches the Rfam family "Eukaryotic small subunit ribosomal RNA", at positions 1470 to 1796 of the family's 1831-position model. The record is from RNAcentral.
CCCUUAGAUGUUCUGGGCUGCACACGUGCUACACUGGCAGGUUCAGCGAGCUUCAUGCCCUGAUCUGAAAGGAAUGGGAAAUCUUUUCAAAACCUGCCGUGCUUGGGAUAGAUGUUUGCAAUUAUUCAUCUUCAACGAGGAUUGCCUUGUAAGCGCACGUCAUCAGCGUGCAUUGAAUACGACCCUGUAUUCUGAACACACCGCCCGUCGCUCCUACCGAUUGAAGUUUUCGGUGAGUUGACAGGAGGAUUUUUUUGAAACUGGUUCGCCAGUGGAUUUUAGAUCCAAAUGCCAACGAAUCGAUGGCUUUAGAGGAAGGAGAAGUCGUAACA